GCGAGUGGGACCCCCGGGCUCAUAGCUAGUUGUACGUAUCGCUAGCAUGGCACGUGCGUAGCGACCUGAGAAGGGUGAUCGUCACCACCGGACUGAGACACGCCAGAUCCUACCGGAGGCAGCAGUAGGGAAUCUUCCGCAUGACGAAGUCUGACGGAGCACGCGCUUGAGUGAUUGAAGGUUUUCGAUCGUAAGCUCUGUUGUUAAGGCAAGAACAAGUACCGUUCGAUUAGGGCCGGUACUUGACGGUACCUAACCAGAAAGCCACGGCUUAACUACGUGCCAGCAGCCGCGGUAAUACGUAGGUGGCUAGCGUUGUCCUGGAAUUAUUGGGCGUAAAGGGCUCGCGGGCGGUUUCUUAAGUCUGAUGUGAAAGCCCCCGGCUCAACCGGGGAGGGUCAUUGGAAACUGGGGAACUUGAGUGCAGAAGAGGAGAGUGGAAUUCCACGUGUAGCGGUGAAAUGCGUAGAGAUGUGGAGGAACACCAGUGGCGAAGGCGACUCUCUGGUCUGUAACUGACGCUGAGGAGCGAAAGCGUGGGGAGCGAACAGGAUUAGAUACCCUGGUAGUCCACGCCGUAAACGAUGAGUGCUAAGUGUUAGGGGGUUUCCGCCCCUUAGUGCUGCAGCUAACGCAUUAAGCACUCCGCCUGGGGAGUACGGUCGCAAGACUGAAACUCAAAGGAAUUGACGGGGGCCCGCACAAGCGGUGGAGCAUGUGGUUUAAUUCGAAGCAACGCGAAGAACCUUACCAGGUCUUGACAUCCUCUGACAAUCCUAGAGAUAGGACGUCCCCUUCGGGGGCAGAGUGACAGGUGGUGCAUGGUUGUCGUCAGCUCGUGUCGUGAGAUGUUGGGUUAAGUCCCGCAACGAGCGCAACCCUUGAUCUUAGUUGCCAGCAUUCAGUUGGGCACUCUAAGGUGACUGCCGGUGACAAACCGGAGGAAGGUGGGGAUGACGUCAAAUCAUCAUGCCCCUUAUGACCUGGGCUACACACGUGCUACAAUGGACAGAACAAAGGGCAGCGAAACCGCGAGGUUAAGCCAAUCCCACAAAUCUGUUCUCAGUUCGGAUCGCAGUCUGCAACUCGACUGCGUGAAGCUGGAAUCGCUAGUAAUCGCGGAUCAGCAUGCCGCGGUGAAUACGUUCCCGGGCCUUGUACACACCGCCCGUCACACCACGAGAGUUUGUAACACCCGAAGUCGGUGAGGUAACCUUUUAGGAGCCAGCCG
RNAcentral lists this ribosomal RNA (1231 nucleotides) under Bacillus subtilis. RNAcentral's name for it is "bacterial SSU rRNA". It matches the Rfam family "Bacterial small subunit ribosomal RNA", at positions 217 to 1455 of the family's 1533-position model. Lineage: Bacteria; Bacillati; Bacillota; Bacilli; Caryophanales; Bacillaceae. The record is from RNAcentral.